RNAcentral lists this ribosomal RNA (467 nucleotides) under uncultured bacterium. RNAcentral's name for it is "partial 16S ribosomal RNA". It matches the Rfam family "Bacterial small subunit ribosomal RNA", at positions 28 to 507 of the family's 1533-position model. The record is from RNAcentral.
GACGAACGCUGGCGGCGUGCUUAACACAUGCAAGUCGAACGGAAAGGCCCUAGCUUGCUGGAGUGCUCGAGUGGCGAACGGGUGAGUAACACGUGGGUAAUCUGCCCUGCACUUUGGGAUAAGCCUGGGAAACUGGGGCUAAUACUGGAUAUGAGCUUUUUCCUCAUGGGGGUUGGUGGAAAGUUUGGCGGUGUGGGGUGGGACCGCGGCCUUUCAGCUUGUUGGGGGGGUUAUGGCCUACCAAGGCGACGACGGGUAGCCGGCCUGAGAGGGUGAUCGGCCACAUUGGGACUGAGAUACGGCCCAGACUCCUACGGGAGGCAGCAGUGGGGAAUAUUGCACAAUGGGCGGAAGCCUGAUGCAGCGACGCCGCGUGAGGGAUGACGGCCUUCGGGUUGUAAACCGCUUUCGGCAGGGACGAAGCGUAAGUGACGGUACCUGCAGAAGAAGCACCGGCUAACUAUGUG